GGGAUCGUGUAGAGCAAUUGAAGCAGUGACUAGCCCCAGUAAACGCGGCCGUAACUAUACCGUCUAAGUAGCGAAAUCCUGUCGGGUAAGUUCGGCCCCACGAAAGGCGUAACGAAUUUGGCACUGUCUCACAACCAGACUCGGUGAAAUUGUAAUACCGGUGAAGAUGCCGGUUACCUGCGACAGGACGGAAAGACCCCAUGGAGCUUUACUGUAGCUUGACAUUGAGUCUCGGUGCUACAUGUACAGGAUAGGUGGGAGACUAUGAAGCAUGGACGUCAGUCUGUGUGGAGUCAUCCUUGGGAUACCACCCUUGUAGUACUGGGAUUCUAACCAGAGGCCAUGAAUCUGGUCUUGGGACACUGUCAGGUGGACAGUUUGACUGGGGCGGUCGCCUCCCAAAAAGUAACGGAGGCGCUCAAAGGUUCUCUCAGUACGGUCGGAAAUCGUACGAAGAGUGUAAAGGCAAAAGAGAGCUUGAUUGCAAGACAUACAGGUCGAGCAAGGACGAAAGUCGGACUUAGUGAUCCGGUGGUUCCGCAUGGAAGGGCCAUCGCUCAACGGAUAAAAGCUACCCUGGGGAUAACAGGCUGAUCUCCCCCAAGAGUCCACAUCGACGGGGAGGUUUGGCACCUCGAUGUCGGCUCAUCACAUCCUGGGGCUGUAGUAGGUCCCAAGGGUUGGGCUGUUCGCCCAUUAAAGUGGUACGCGAGCUGGGUUCAGAACGUCGUGAGACAGUUCGGUCCCUAUCCGUCGCAGGCGUAGGAAAUUUGAGGAGACCUGUCCUUAGUACGAGAGGACCGGGAUGGACGUACCGCUGGUGUACCAGUUGUUCUGCCAAGGGCAUGGCUGGGUAGCUAAGUACGGAAAGGAUAAGCGCUGAAAGCAUCUAAGCGCGAAGCCCACUUCAAGAUAAGAUUUCCCACCGCAAGGUUAAGAUCCCAGGAAGACUACCUGGUUGAUAGGUCAGAGGUGUAAGUGCAGUAAUGUAUUUAGCUUACUGAUACUAAUAGAUCGAGGACUUGACCAA
Molecule: ribosomal RNA, 1030 nt
Filed under: Intestinibacter bartlettii DSM 16795
Lineage: Bacteria; Bacillati; Bacillota; Clostridia; Peptostreptococcales; Peptostreptococcaceae
Description: bacterial LSU rRNA
Rfam family: Bacterial large subunit ribosomal RNA
Source: RNAcentral